RNAcentral lists this long non-coding RNA (466 nucleotides) under Manihot esculenta (cassava). RNAcentral describes it as "long non-coding RNA (MESC_LNC007077)". The record is from RNAcentral. Lineage: Eukaryota; Viridiplantae; Streptophyta; Magnoliopsida; Malpighiales; Euphorbiaceae.
UAUAAUAUACUACAUGUAAAAAAUUAUGAAUAAAUAUAAUGAGUACAAGCAACUUACAAAAACACAUUAGCAAAAACUAGUAUUUAAAAAUCUAUAACCUAAAUGACAGAAAAAAAAGAAGAAGAAGAAAUUUUAAAUAAUAUAAGCUAUGAAGAUGUUAAUUAAAAUAUAAAAAUAAAACUACAUAACUAGAACCCUUAAACCCCUUCCUCGCUAAACCCUCAACACAGCGGCCCGCCUACCGCUCCCAGCGAUCGUCCCUCUGCUCUUCACGCUGUCAACGUCGUUGCUGCGUCCUCUGGUCCUGGUUGCUUCUGCUCUCUCCUCCGCCGUUCCCCCUGGUCCUUGUCCCUGCGUCCGCUGGUCCAUUCCUUCUGCCUUCCGGUGCUGCUUCUCGCCGCUGGUCCUCGUCCUCAAUCAAGCCGCUGCUGCUCCUCGUCACUACGUCCUCGGUCACUGCAGNNNN